ACCUUGGUGGUCUAGUGGUUAAGACUCUGCGCUUCCAAUGCAGGGGGCGUGGGUUUGAUCCAUGGUU
RNAcentral lists this transfer RNA (67 nucleotides) under Ovis aries (sheep). It matches the Rfam family "tRNA". Rfam says of the family: Transfer RNA (tRNA) molecules are approximately 80 nucleotides in length. Their secondary structure includes four short double-helical elements and three loops (D, anti-codon, and T loops). Lineage: Eukaryota; Metazoa; Chordata; Mammalia; Artiodactyla; Bovidae. The record is from Rfam by way of RNAcentral.